This 841-nucleotide long non-coding RNA is filed under the name Homo sapiens (human). Its description in RNAcentral is "HSALNT0287523". The record is from RNAcentral. Lineage: Eukaryota; Metazoa; Chordata; Mammalia; Primates; Hominidae.
UGAUGGGCUGACAGUCUGUUCAGGGCUCCCACAGAGUGAAGCACUCAGCCUGGCACGUGCUCAGUUGGCAUUGAACUGGUGCAGAGGGGCCCUUGAAUACUUUUGGACCACCUCCUGUCCAUCUUCACCUCUUCCUACAAUGCUGCCAACUCCAGCCCUCCCUGAGGAGGCUCAGAUUCACACAGGUGUCCACACAGGUGCUGCAUGCUCUAGACCGUCCUAACCCAUCUGCUUCUGUGACCGGCCAGUGGCAUCUGCUCCUCCCCCACCAUCUCAGUUGAAGAAUUAAGAUGAGAUGCCUCCGUGUGUUUGUCUGGUAGGACAUACUCCUUUUCUUGUAUUUGAACGCAUACUCCAGGGCUGCCAUGGGGUUCUGUUCCCACAUCCCUGCCCCCUGCUCUUUGUUCAAGGCUGAGCUCAACCAACUCAUCCCAGAACAAGCGUUCAUCUGCUUUCCUGUUCAAGGCAAUGAGGAAUAUUUGAGUGGAGUUGAAUUCUUCAAAGAAGUCUUAACCUUCAGGCUGGAGAAGACCAGAACUCCUCUUCCUAAUUUGGAAAUAAUGUCUCUUGUUUAUGGGGUUUGUUUUAAUCAUAAAGUAUCUUGUGUUCAUUUUAGAAAAGAAGAAAGAAGCAAAUAAAAUCACCUGUUAGAGAAAAGUAACUAAUAUUUUGAUGUAUUCCCUUCCAGUACUUACAUAUAUAAGUAUAUAUGUAUGCAUAGUUAUAUAUAUAACUAUAAAGAAAAGAUCAUGCUAUGUACUUGUAUAUAAUUUUGUAUAUUAAUUUUUGUUUAAUUUUGUAUCAUAACUGUUUUCACAUGUCAUUAAAAAUUCUUCAAAAU